This 497-nucleotide ribosomal RNA is filed under the name uncultured bacterium. RNAcentral describes it as "partial 16S ribosomal RNA". It matches the Rfam family "Bacterial small subunit ribosomal RNA", at positions 28 to 507 of the family's 1533-position model. The record is from RNAcentral.
GAUGAACGCUGGCGGCGUGCCUAAUACAUGCAAGUCGAGCGAACAGAUGAGGAGCUUGCUCCUCUGACGUUAUCGGCGGACGGGUGAGUAACACGUGGAUAACCUACCUAUAAGACUGGGAUAACUUCGGGAAACCGGAGCUAAUACCGGAUAAUAUAUUGAACCGCAUGGUUCAAUAGUUAAAGACGGUUUUGCUGUCACUUAUAGAUGGAUCCGCGCCGCAUUAGCUAGUUGGUAAGGUAACGGCUUACCAAGGCAACGAUGCGUAGCCGACCUGAGAGGGUGAUCGGCCACACUGGAACUGAGAGACGGUCCAGACUCCUACGGGAGGCAGCAGUAGGGAAUCUUCAGCAAUGGGCGAAAGCCUGAAGGAGCAACGCCGCGUGAGUGAUGAAGGUCUUCGGAUCGUAAAACUCUGUUAUUAGGGAAGAACAAAUGUGUAAGUAACUAUGCACGUCUUGACGGUACCUAAUCAGAAAGCCACGGCUAACUACGUG